Molecule: ribosomal RNA, 376 nt
Filed under: uncultured eukaryote
Lineage: Eukaryota
Description: SSU rRNA
Rfam family: Eukaryotic small subunit ribosomal RNA
Source: RNAcentral
AGCUCCAAUAGCAUAUAUUAAAGUUGUUGCAGUUAAAAAGCUCGUAGUUGGAUUUCUGGAGGGGUGCCGAAGUCCGCUCGAUAGCGUGUGCUGAGGCGCCCUUCCAUCCUUCUGUUAACGUUUCUUGGUAUUCAGUUACUGGUUUCGGGCUCAGAUAUUUUACCUUGAGAAAAUUAGAGUGUUCCAGGCAGGCUUGCGCCGGAAUACAUUAGCAUGGAAUAAUAGAAUAGGACUUUUGUCUCCUUUGUUGGUUUGAGGGACUGGAGUAAUGAUUAAUAGGGACAGUUGGGGGCAUUAGUAUUUAAUUGUCAGAGGUGAAAUUCUCGGAUUUGUUAAAGACUAACUUAUGCGAAAGCAUUUGCCAAGGAUGUUUUCA